GAUGAACGCUGGCGGCGUGCCUAAUACAUGCAAGUCGAGCGAACAGAUAAGGAGCUUGCUCCUUUGACGUUAGCGGCGGACGGGUGAGUAACACGUGGGUAACCUACCUAUAAGACUGGGAUAACUUCGGGAAACCGGAGCUAAUACCGGAUAACAUUUGGAACCGCAUGGUUCUAAAGUGAAAGAUGGUUUUGCUAUCACUUAUAGAUGGACCCGCGCCGUAUUAGCUAGUUGGUAAGGUAACGGCUUACCAAGGCGACGAUACGUAGCCGACCUGAGAGGGUGAUCGGCCACACUGGAACUGGAACACGGUCCAGACUCCUAAGGGAGGCAGCAGUAGGGAAUCUUCCGCAAUGGGCGAAAGCCUGACGGAGCAACGCCGCGUGAGUGAUGAAGGGGUUCGGCUCGUAAAACUCUGUUAUUAGGGAAGAACAAAUGUGUAAGUAACUGUGCACGUCUUGACGGUACCUAAUCAGAAAGCCACGGCUAACUACGUG
This 497-nucleotide ribosomal RNA is filed under the name uncultured bacterium. RNAcentral describes it as "partial 16S ribosomal RNA". It matches the Rfam family "Bacterial small subunit ribosomal RNA", at positions 28 to 507 of the family's 1533-position model. The record is from RNAcentral.